Arachis stenosperma is the source of this 606-nucleotide long non-coding RNA. RefSeq lists it as uncharacterized. NCBI's taxonomy places the organism in Eukaryota, Viridiplantae, Streptophyta, Magnoliopsida, Fabales, Fabaceae. The record is from RefSeq and is a predicted model, not a curated record. The transcript is spliced from 4 exons.
UAACUUCAUUCCCUUUCUAUAUAUAGUGGCUCGUUCAUUCGUGGAGUUCUCACUUCAAUCUUGUAAAUCCUUCUUAUUUCUACACCUUUCUCGUCACUAAGUGCUCAAUCCAGAAGAGGGUUCUUUUGCUGUUGCGCUCUCUUGGUUGUAGCUCUUUUCAUGGGUCAUUUCUCCGAUGGACAUGGCAUUGGGGAUAUCUAUCAUUUGAUGGCAACGCGAUGGCCACAAUGGAUUGUAGCAACUGUGAUUUAAUUGAUUAAAUGUUCAGAAAAUAGAAAUAAUGGAUGGAAUUGUGAGAACCAUCCAAAGUCAUGCCAAAAUGGACUAAUGAUGAUCGUGAUAAAUUAAGGAAGAAUAUUAUCAUACAAAUGCUCCUAUGCCUACAAAAUGAUUGCCGAACUAAUAUUUUGGAUCUAGCAAAGAGUUAUCAAUUCACAAAGAUUGCCAAUAAAAAGGAAAGAAAUAAAAAUGAAAAGAAAGCUUUGGAUACCCCAAAGGAGGCAAAAGCACCGUGACAAAGAAAACUAGGAGCCUCCUAAGUUAGUCCAUAUGCAAAUGUUGGGACGGGAACCUUAGAAGGAAUAAUUGGAUAUGAAAGAAGAAAAG